UACGUAGGCAGCAAGCGUUGUUCGGAGUUACUGGGCGUAAAGAGUAUGUAGGCGGUUGGGUAAGUUUGGUGUGAAAUCUCCCGGCUUAACUGGGAGGGUGCGCCAAAGACUGCCUGGCUCGAGUGUGGGAGAGGAAAGCGGAAUUCCCGGUGUAGCGGUGAAAUGCGUAGAUAUCAGGAGGAACACCUGCGGUGUAGACGGCUUUCUGGACCAUAACUGACGCUGAGAUACGAAAGCGUGGGUAGCAAACAGG
RNAcentral lists this ribosomal RNA (253 nucleotides) under uncultured bacterium. Its description in RNAcentral is "partial 16S ribosomal RNA". It matches the Rfam family "Bacterial small subunit ribosomal RNA", at positions 524 to 776 of the family's 1533-position model. The record is from RNAcentral.